This 2634-nucleotide unclassified non-coding RNA is filed under the name Hevea brasiliensis (rubber tree). Lineage: Eukaryota; Viridiplantae; Streptophyta; Magnoliopsida; Malpighiales; Euphorbiaceae. The record is from RNAcentral.
AGGAGAAGGAGAAGAAGAAGAAGAGGGAGAAGAAGAAGAAAAAAGCCGAUGAAGACGUUGUUAUGAUGUCCUCUUGUUCUUCUCGUUCGGCGGCUCUUCCUUCUAAGCACAGAAGUACGCGCAUUGCUUAUAAACGCAAGAACCCUAAGGUGGUGAUCACUCCAGUUCGGCGUGGUGGCCGCUUCGGGGAAGGUGAUUUGAAUGCCGUUGCUCUCCCUCUUGGAAUGUCUUUUGCUGCUAUUGUUGCUCAGGUUCUUGAGAGGAAAGAUGUGGCAGGUGAAAAGAUGUCCGUUGAUUAUCUUUCAAAGGUGCAUACUUUUUAUCCCUUUACAAGACAAAUGAUGGAUCGAGAAAUGAACCUAUGGAAGUUAUUGACCGUGGAUUUUGAUCCAUUCACAAUUCUUUGUUUGGAAUGUGGAAAAAAAAACACAUUUACUGUUGAAAACUCCGUUGGCUCUUUCUCAUUUAGUUCUUAUAUAAAAGACAAUGAUACGAGAUUACUGAAAUUAUUUGGCUUGUAAACUUUUCAUACCAAAACAUCCAAGUCAGUCUGACAAAUAGAGAGGCAAAGCCCCCAGAAAGGUGGUCACAGCUUUGUGCUUUGUCAGUUUAUCUGCAAUAUUUUGUGAAUUGGUUUCACUUUACUGAAUAUUGAAAUAUUGGGUAUUAACAAUAUAUUAUUUGUCUGUUCAUUUGCAGAUUUGUGCUUUAGCUGUUGGAGAAUCUUUAGCUAAUGUCGUCGGUGAAAAAUUUGAAUUUUUUGCCAGGAACUUUGAGAAAUCAUUUGGGAGUACAUUGAGGACCCUUAGAUUGAUUAAUGAAGCAUCCAGCAACAAGGAAGCAUAUCGCUUAAGCCACCUGAAUGUAGAAAGCUGGGCUUCACACUUGACUCUUGAAAAUGGGGUUGAUUGUAGUAGCUCUGGCAUCAAGGAUUAUCAAUCAGAAACUGAGUUGCCUUCCAUCUCAGCCCAAAAUCAAGUGCAUGUGGCUGAAGAUGUAGAAGAGAGCGUUCCUUGCUUGAACCAGGAACUUCCCUUGAGUGGACAAUUAAACCAACAGAUUUGUGUUCCAAGUUCAUUAGGUUCUGUAAUCAACCAUUGCAGCACUAUUGAGAAAUUGGUCAUGGAGGAAGCGCGUUCUAAUGACCUGAAGACAUUGGAGAUUGGUCUUACAAUGAAAAAAUUGGAGUUAAAAGAGGCACAGCUGGCUCUUAGCUUUGAUUCAAAUCAUCUUGAAAGAUCAAAAUUAGCAAUGGGCGUGUCAAAGGCAUCCUUUAAAGCUGAAAAAUUCAAGAACCAAGUGGAAGAUACAAAGCAUGCUGAACUGCUUAAGACUUGCAUAGAUUGCCUUGUUGCCGGUUUGUUCCUCAUGUCUGCCUGCCUUUUAUAUGGUGCAUAUGUCUUUUCUUACCAAAGGAUCACUGAUGCUACUGCAUCCUGUAAUCCUUCAGUUGAGGUAAGGAUCAUAUCUUCUUGGUAGCUUCAAUUGCUUGUUUCUUCAAUUCACGUGAUCAUCAGUAUUGUUGAUCUAGUUAUCUGAAUUUAUAUGUUUUCUUUGUCAUACUAUUUUCUCUGGAACUGCAGAGAUUCUACAGAGAAACUGUGAAGAGUACAGUUUAUUGUCCUUUGGCCUUAUGCAGUGUGUAAAGAUAACAGAUAUUGCUUUAAAUGUUUGAUAAAAUUAAUUGGAUAUGUAGAAUGAAUCCCCACCUUGUAACUCUGGAGAGAGCUUGAUUUUAAGGUUGAAGCUUGAUUUUAUUGGGUUUUCAUUCUCUUGCCAGUUCAAAAUAUAUUGUGUGUCAUAGCCAAGAGCAUAAUGAAAUUUUGUUUUGGUUUGUUUUAAUGGCUCAAACAGGAUUUGCUAUCUUCAACAUCUACUUGAUUUAUGUGAUGUCAAAGAAUUUUCAUGUCACACCUUUGCUAUCAGAUGGAUUUUCUUGGCUGAUACAUCUUCAGCUUUUGUUUUAGUCAUACAAGAUAACUACAAAAUUCAUGUUUCUUUUAUCUGAUUCAGGAGUCCAAAUCAUGGUGGUUCCCAAGGCCAUUUUCGUCUUUCAACUCAGGGCUGCAUACGCUCCAGUGUCAUGUUCAGGUUUUAAGCCGAAUGCUGUUUGGCAUGUUAAUAAUUCUGGCAGUUGCUUAUUUACUUCUUCAACGAACAGCAACCUCGCAUCAGACAAUGCCAGUAACAUUCAUCCUGUUGCUUUUAGGAGUUGUAUGUGGUUUUGCCGGCAAAUUUUGUGUGGACACAUUGGGAGGAAGUGGAUUGCAUUGGCUACUAUAUUGGGAGACUAUGUGCUUGCUGCAUUUCUUCUCAUAUGUCUUCAUAUCGACAUUGUUCUGUGUACUUCAUGGGUCUGUCACCGUCUCCCAAGGGGAAAAAUCCAAUGCAACAUGUCCAUACUGGUUCCGACAAAUUCUUUUCUAUGCUGUUGUGCUCUUGUUUCUGCCAUUAUGCUGUGGUCUUUUGCCUUUUGCCAGUCCUGGUGAAUGGAAAGAUCAUUUCUUGAUGCUUGCCACCGACUUUCUAUUUAUUGCAGAUGAUUGAAUCAAGAGUUUGCAAACCCAAAAGCUGUCUUACCGCAUCUGGUUUCUUCUGACUUUGGUAUGUGAUUUAUCUGUAUUGUAUUCCGAG